GAACGCUGGCGGCAUGCUUUACACAUGCAAGUCGAACGGUAACAGGCCUUCGGGCGCUGACGAGUGGCGAACGGGUGAGUAAUGCAUCGGAACGUGCCCAGAGGUGGGGGAUAACGCAGCGAAAGCUGUGCUAAUACCGCAUACGAUCUACGGAUGAAAGCGGGGGACUCGCAAGGGCCUCGCGCGUUUGGAGCGGCCGAUGGCAGAUUAGGUAGUUGGUGGGGUAAAGGCUUACCAAGCCUGCGAUCUGUAGCUGGUCUGAGAGGAUGAUCAGCCACACUGGGACUGAGACACGGCCCAGACUCCUACGGGAGGCAGCAGUGGGGAAUUUUGGACAAUGGGCGCAAGCCUGAUCCAGCCAUUCCGCGUGCAGGACGAAGGCCUUCGGGUUGUAAACUGCUUUUGUACGGAACGAAAAGGUCUUCUCUAAUACAGAGGGCCCAUGACGGUACCGUAAGAAUAAGCACCGGCUAACUACGUG
This 481-nucleotide ribosomal RNA is filed under the name uncultured bacterium. RNAcentral describes it as "bacterial SSU rRNA". It matches the Rfam family "Bacterial small subunit ribosomal RNA", at positions 31 to 507 of the family's 1533-position model. The record is from RNAcentral.